Molecule: ribosomal RNA, 253 nt
Filed under: uncultured bacterium
Lineage: Bacteria
Description: partial 16S ribosomal RNA
Rfam family: Bacterial small subunit ribosomal RNA
Source: RNAcentral
GACGGAGGAUGCAAGCGUUAUCCGGAAUGAUUGGGCGUAAAGCGUCCGCAGGUGGCAGUUCAAGUCUGCUGUCAAAGACCGGGGCUUAACUUCGGAAAGGCAGUGGAAACUGAACAGCUAGAGUAUGGUAGGGGCAGAGGGAAUUCCUGGUGUAGCGGUGAAAUGCGUAGAGAUCAGGAAGAACAUCGGUGGCGAAGGCGGGUCUCUGGGCCGAUACUGACGCUGAGGAGCGAAAGCGUGGGGAGCAAACAGG